This 442-nucleotide ribosomal RNA is filed under the name uncultured bacterium. RNAcentral's name for it is "partial 16S ribosomal RNA". It matches the Rfam family "Bacterial small subunit ribosomal RNA", at positions 338 to 795 of the family's 1533-position model. The record is from RNAcentral.
CCUACGGGUGGCAGCAGUGGGGAAUCUUUGGCAAUGGACGCAAGUCUGACCCAGCAACGCCGCGUGAAGGAAUGAGGCUUUCGGGUUGUAAACUUCUUGUCAGGGGGAAGAGCAGAAGACGGUACCCCUUGAAUAAGCCACGGCUAACUACGUGCCUGCAACCGCGGUAAUACGUAGGUGGCAAGCGUUGUCCGGAUUUACUGGGUGGAAAGGGUGUGCAGCCGGAGAGAUAAGUCAGAUGUGAAAUCCACGGGCUCAACCCGUGAACUGCAUUUGAAACUGUUUGCCUUGAGUGUCGGAGAGGUAAUCGGAAUUCCUAGUGUAGCAGUGAAAUGCGUAGAGAUUAGGAAGAACACCAGUGGCGAAGGCGGAUUACUGGACGAUAACUGACGGUGAGGCGCGAAAGCGUGGGGAGCAAACAGGAUUAGAUACCCGGGUAGUC